Molecule: ribosomal RNA, 253 nt
Filed under: uncultured bacterium
Lineage: Bacteria
Description: partial 16S ribosomal RNA
Rfam family: Bacterial small subunit ribosomal RNA
Source: RNAcentral
UACGAAGGGGGCUAGCGUUGCUCGGAAUCACUGGGCGUAAAGCGCACGUAGGCUGACUCUUAAGUCGGUGGUGAAAUCCUGGAGCUCAACUCCAGAACUGCCUUCGAUACUGGGAGUCUCGAGUCCGGGAGAGGUGAGUGGAACUGCGAGUGUAGAGGUGAAAUUCGUAGAUAUUCGCAAGAACACCAGUGGCGAAGGCGGCUCACUGGCCCGGUACUGACGCUGAGGUGCGAAAGCGUGGGGAGCAAACAGG